UACAGUGGCUCCAUGGGCCUCAGUGACCACAUUGAGAGAGAGUUGAAUGGCAAAUACAGGAGAAAUGGCUGCAAGGGAAAUUACAGAAUAGAGGACAUCCUGGAGAGGCCUGGAGAGGGGAGAACACAGCCCGGAAGCCCCUCUUCUCUGACCACCCCUGCACUUCUUGCCUUCCCUGCUGAGAGCUGCUCUACCCUUUUUUGCAGGUGCUUUGGCUCUAGCAGACAGGAAGAAAUUCUGGCCCAGCUGGAAGUAGAAAGAGGGGAGUGAGUCUCCUGAGGACCAUCUCAGAGGCCCCGGGAUCACCCAAACAAUGACGGCAACCGCCCAGCCACCCUCCAAGGCCCAGGCUGUCCACAUCUCUGCCCCCUCAGCUGCUGCCAGCACACCUGUGCCCAGUGCCCCCAUCGACCCCCAGGCCCAGCUGGAGGCUGACAAGCGAGCUGUAUACAGGCACCCUCUUUUCCCGCUCCUGACGCUGCUGUUUGAGAAAUGUGAACAGGCCACCCAGGGCUCUGAGUGCAUCACCUCCGCCAGCUUUGAUGUGGACAUCGAGAACUUUGUCCACCAGCAGGAACAGGAGCACAAACC
RNAcentral lists this small RNA (591 nucleotides) under Pan troglodytes (chimpanzee). RNAcentral describes it as "retained intron". Lineage: Eukaryota; Metazoa; Chordata; Mammalia; Primates; Hominidae. The record is from RNAcentral.